UGGCCAGGCAAUAAGUACACAAAAAACAAUGCAUGCGACCCCGCUCCAGACUCCUGGCUAAGAGGUGCCUGCCCACCAUCAGGGAGGGCUAUGAGGAGCUGGUCCAGGACAUGAACCAGGCCAACAGCCGCCACCUCCCUCCCCAUGGUCAGGUACACUCACUGUCUACCCAUGACUACUUCCUGUCCAUCUGCCAGCUCGCCCGACCAACCUUCCCCCAGGGAGAACCUGACUGUGACAUCCUCACGGUGGGCGCUCUGGCCUCCCUGAGGCCUUGCCUGAGGCUGCACAGACUGAGGGACCCUGUGCCACCCUGUCAGCCUCUGAUCUCUAAGGUCAGCCGCCACACACAGUUAGAGCAAGAGGAGAGUCAGAAUGAGUGUAGUGGCCCAGAGAGAGUGGUGGAUGUCAGUUCACGUCAGACCUCCAGUAGGGUUGUCCCCAGUGUCUCUGACCCCUUGGAGUUCCUCUACGGUCACAGGGAAGGACUCCUUUCAGCCGCCUGUCGCGCCCAUGGCUCACAGGGCUGGAUGGGUGAAGGGAGUCAGAGUGCGACCCAGCGUCGACCACAACCCCCGGUACGUGCCAACAGUUUCCCCCGCAUGUGUUCCUCACCCCUGACCCAGCGCAAAAACAGCUGCCGUGAGCUAUGGCUGGUGGACCCCACUGACCAAAAGAAGCCAAACCCUGACCCUGCUCCACCACAGACAUCCUCAUCAGACCAGCAGAAACCUGAUGCCUCCAGCUCAUUCUCAUGGAGGUUCCAGAAUGACCCAGACAGGGCACCUGCAGGUGAGAGGGGGAAGUGCACACGCUACAUGGACAAUCACACAAUGGUAUCACACUGGAUCGCUGACUGUCGCUCGGCCUGGAGAGAAGCAAGAAUCAGGGCGUGCAUGCUUCCUGCCAUCGCAGAGAUGUAAACUUGUGUAGCGUUGUUAAUUCCCACUUUUAAGUAUUGUACAUUAUGGAUCCUUGAUGUACUUAUGUACCGCUUAAUUGGUACAUUUGGACAAUGCAGGUCCAUGUGGUAACAUGUACAAAUUGAGUUUUCAUGCCUGCCCUUUUUGUACAGUAUGUAGUGUAAGACAUAUUGUAGACUAGCGUAUGCCUCACACAUAUUACAGUAAGUGGAAUGUUGACAGUGCUUAGAAGACAUCAGAUUUUGGAAGGAUGAUCACGCGAGACAAGUAUUAGGGAGAGUAAAGAUGUGUGGAAAAGAUGCAGAAUUUGCUAUAAGGAUUAUGCACAAAGACAUAUGACUAAGAAAAAUGACAGAUCAUAAUCUUUACUAUUGAGUGAGUGAUAGCUCACUCCAUUAUUGACAAAUGAUAACUCUGGUC
RNAcentral lists this long non-coding RNA (1343 nucleotides) under Salmo salar (Atlantic salmon). Its description in RNAcentral is "lncRNA (ENSSSAG00000105216.1, ENSSSAG00075016122.1)". Lineage: Eukaryota; Metazoa; Chordata; Actinopteri; Salmoniformes; Salmonidae. The record is from RNAcentral.